UUAAGCGACUAAGCGUACACGGUGGAUGCCCUGGCAGUCAGAGGCGAUGAAGGACGUGCUAAUCUGCGAAAAGCGCCGGCGAGGUGAUAUGAACCCUUGACCCGGCGAUGUCCGAAUGGGGAAACCCAGUGUGUUCCGACACACUAUCGUUAACUGAAUACAUAGGUUAACGAGGCGAACCGGGGGAACUGAAACAUCUAAGUACCCCGAGGAAAAGAAAUCAACCGAGAUUCCCCCAGUAGCGGCGAGCGAACGGGGAGCAGCCCGGAGUCUGAAUCAGCUUGUGUGUUAGUGGAACGGUCUGGAAAGUCCGACGGUACAGGGUGAUAGUCCCGUACACGAAAAUGCACAGGUUGUGAACUCGAAGAGUAGGGCGGGACACGUGGUAUCCUGUCUGAAUAUGGGGGGACCAUCCUCCAAGGCUAAAUACUCCUGACUGACCGAUAGUGAACCAGUACCGUGAGGGAAAGGCGAAAAGAACCCCGGCGAGGGGAGUGAAAAAGAACCUGAAACCGUGUACGUACAAGCAGUGGGAGCACCUUCGGGUGUGACUGCGUACCUUUUGUAUAAUGGGUCAGCGACUUAUAUUCUGUAGCAAGGUUAACCGUAUAGGGGAGCCGAAGGGAAACCGAGUCUUAACUGGGCGUUAAGUUGCAGGGUAUAGACCCGAAACCCGGUGAUCUAGCCAUGGGCAGGUUGAAGGUUGGGUAACACUAACUGGAGGACCGAACCGACUAAUGUUGAAAAAUUAGCGGAUGACCUGUGGCUGGGGGUGAAAGGCCAAUCAAACCGGGAGAUAGCUGGUUCUCCCCGAAAGCUAUUUAGGUAGCGCCUCGUGAACUCAUCUUCGGGGGUAGAGCACUGUUUCGGCUAGGGGGCCAUCCCGGCUUACCAACCCGAUGCAAACUACGAAUACCGAAGAAUGUUAUCACGGGAGACACACGGCGGGUGCUAACGUCCGUCGUGAAGAGGGAAACAACCCAGACCGCCAGCUAAGGUCCCAAAGUCAUGGUUAAGUGGGAAACGAUGUGGGAAGGCACAGACAGCCAGGAUGUUGGCUUAGAAGCAGCCAUCAUUUAAAGAAAGCGUAAUAGCUCACUGGUCGAGUCGGCCUGCGCGGAAGAUGUAACGGGGCUAAACCAUGCACCGAAGCUGCGGCAGCGACGCUUAUGCGUUGUUGGGUAGGGGAGCGUUCUGUAAGCCGUUGAAGGUGUGCUGUGAGGCAUGCUGGAGGUAUCAGAAGUGCGAAUGCUGACAUAAGUAACGAUAAAGCGGGUGAAAAGCCCGCUCGCCGGAAGACCAAGGGUUCCUGUCCAACGUUAAUCGGGGCAGGGUGAGUCGACCCCUAAGGCGAGGCCGAAAGGCGUAGUCGAUGGGAAACAGGUUAAUAUUCCUGUACUUGGUGUUACUGCGAAGGGGGGACGGAGAAGGCUAUGUCAGCCGGGCGACGGUUGUCCCGGUUUAAGCAUGUAGGCGGAGGUUCCAGGUAAAUCCGGUACCUUGUUAACGCUGAGGUGUGAUGACGAGGCACUACGGUGCUGAAGUGAUAAAUGCCCUGCUUCCAGGAAAAGCCUCUAAGCAUCAGGUAACACGAAAUCGUACCCCAAACCGACACAGGUGGUCAGGUAGAGAAUACCAAGGCGCUUGAGAGAACUCGGGUGAAGGAACUAGGCAAAAUGGUGCCGUAACUUCGGGAGAAGGCACGCUGAUAUGUAGGUGAAGUCCCUGCGGACGGAGCUGAAAUCAGUCGAAGAUACCAGCUGGCUGCAACUGUUUAUUAAAAACACAGCACUGUGCAAACACGAAAGUGGACGUAUACGGUGUGACGCCUGCCCGGUGCCGGAAGGUUAAUUGAUGGGGUUAGCGGCAACGCGAAGCUCUUGAUCGAAGCCCCGGUAAACGGCGGCCGUAACUAUAACGGUCCUAAGGUAGCGAAAUUCCUUGUCGGGUAAGUUCCGACCUGCACGAAUGGCGUAAUGAUGGCCAGGCUGUCUCCACCCGAGACUCAGUGAAAUUGAACUCGCUGUGAAGAUGCAGUGUACCCGCGGCAAGACGGAAAGACCCCGUGAACCUUUACUAUAGCUUGACACUGAACACUGGUCCUUGAUGUGUAGGAUAGGUGGGAGGCUUUGAAGCGUGGACGCCAGUCUGCGUGGAGUCAUCCUUGAAAUACCACCCUUUAAUGGCUGGUGUUCUAACGUAGACCCGUGAUCCGGGUUGCGGACAGUGUCUGGUGGGUAGUUUGACUGGGGCGGUCUCCUCCCAAAGAGUAACGGAGGAGCACGAAGGUUGGCUAAUCCUGGUCGGACAUCAGGAGGUUAGUGCAAUGGCAUAAGCCAGCUUGACUGCGAGCGUGACGGCGCGAGCAGGUGCGAAAGCAGGUCAUAGUGAUCCGGUGGUUCUGAAUGGAAGGGCCAUCGCUCAACGGAUAAAAGGUACUCCGGGGAUAACAGGCUGAUACCGCCCAAGAGUUCAUAUCGACGGCGGUGUUUGGCACCUCGAUGUCGGCUCAUCACAUCCUGGGGCUGAAGUAGGUCCCAAGGGUAUGGCUGUUCGCCAUUUAAAGUGGUACGCGAGCUGGGUUUAGAACGUCGUGAGACAGUUCGGUCCCUAUCUGCCGUGGGCGCUGGAGAAUUGAGGGGGGCUGCUCCUAGUACGAGAGGACCGGAGUGGACGCAUCACUGGUGUUCGGGUUGUCAUGCCAAUGGCACUGCCCGGUAGCUAAAUGCGGAAGAGAUAAGUGCUGAAAGCAUCUAAGCACGAAACUUGCCCCGAGAUGAGUUCUCCCUGAGACCUUGAGUCUCCUGAAGGAACGUUGAAGACGACGACGUUGAUAGGUCGGGUGUGUAAGCGCAGCGAUGCGUUGAGCUAACCGAUACUAAUGAACCGUGAGGCUUAACCUU
Molecule: ribosomal RNA, 2903 nt
Filed under: Enterobacter cloacae
Lineage: Bacteria; Pseudomonadati; Pseudomonadota; Gammaproteobacteria; Enterobacterales; Enterobacteriaceae
Also listed under: 1 other name
Description: bacterial LSU rRNA
Rfam family: Bacterial large subunit ribosomal RNA
Source: RNAcentral